This 305-nucleotide ribosomal RNA is filed under the name uncultured bacterium. RNAcentral's name for it is "bacterial SSU rRNA". It matches the Rfam family "Bacterial small subunit ribosomal RNA", at positions 338 to 660 of the family's 1533-position model. The record is from RNAcentral.
CCUACGGGAGGCAGCAGUGGGGGAUAUUGCACAAUGGGGGGAACCCUGAUGCAGCGACGCCGCGUGGGUGAAGAAGCGCCUCGGCGCGUAAAGCCCUAUCAGCAGGGAAGAAAAUGACGGUACCUGACUAAGAAGCCCCGGCUAAAUACGUGCCAGCAGCCGCGGUAAUACGUAUGGGGCAAGCGUUAUCCGGAUUUACUGGGUGUAAAGGGAGCGCAGACGGCGUGGCAAGCCUGAUGUGAAAUACCGGGGCCCAACCCCGGGACUGCUCUUGGAACUGCCCGGCUGGAGUGCCGGAGCGGCAG